RNAcentral lists this ribosomal RNA (1542 nucleotides) under Paenibacillus sp. FSL H7-0326. RNAcentral describes it as "bacterial LSU rRNA". It matches the Rfam family "Bacterial large subunit ribosomal RNA", at positions 1282 to 2817 of the family's 2925-position model. The record is from RNAcentral. Lineage: Bacteria; Bacillati; Bacillota; Bacilli; Caryophanales; Paenibacillaceae.
AUACAAGUGAGAAUGCCGGUAUGAGUAACGAAAAGAUCAGUGAGAAUCUGAUCCGCCGAAAACCUAAGGGUUCCUGAGGAAGGCUCGUCCGCUCAGGGUAAGUCGGGACCUAAGGCGAGGCCGAUAGGCGUAGUCGAAGGACAACAGGUCGAAAUUCCUGUACCACCGUAAAUCGUUACGAGCGAUGGGGUGACGCAGUAGGGUAGUGACGCAGACUGAUGGAUGUCUGUCCAAGCAGUGAGGCUGGUAUGUAGGCAAAUCCGCAUACUAUUAAGGCUGGGCUGUGAUGGGGAGUGAAAAUUACAGUAGCGAAGGUCAUGAUCUCACACUGCCAAGAAAAGCCUCUAGCCAGAUGAAGGUGCCCGUACCGUAAACCGACACAGGUAGGUGAGAAGAGAAUUCUAAGGCGCGCGGAAGAACUCUCGUUAAGGAACUCGGCAAAAUGACCCCGUAACUUCGGGAGAAGGGGUGCCCCGGUAGUGUGAAUAGCACGAGGGGGCCGCAGUGAAAAGGCCCAAGCGACUGUUUAGCAAAAACACAGGUCUGUGCGAAGCCGCAAGGCGAAGUAUACGGGCUGACGCCUGCCCGGUGCUGGAAGGUUAAGGGGAGCGGUUAGGAGCAAUCCGAAGCUGUGAACCGAAGCCCCAGUAAACGGCGGCCGUAACUAUAACGGUCCUAAGGUAGCGAAAUUCCUUGUCAGGUAAAUUCUGACCCGCACGAAUGGCGUAACGACUUGGGCGCUGUCUCAACGAGAGAUCCGGUGAAAUUUUAAUACCUGUGAAGAUGCAGGUUACCCGCGACAAGACGGAAAGACCCCAUGGAGCUUUACUGCAGCUUGAUAUUGGAUUUGGGUACGAUCUGUACAGGAUAGGUGGGAGCCUAGGAAACAGGAGCGCCAGCUUCUGUGGAGGCAACGUUGGGAUACCACCCUGAUCGUAUCUAGGUUCUAACUUGGUACCGUAAUCCGGUGCGAGGACAGUGUCAGGUGGGCAGUUUGACUGGGGCGGUCGCCUCCUAAAGAGUAACGGAGGCGCCCAAAGGUUCCCUCAGAAUGGUUGGAAAUCAUUCGCAGAGUGUAAAGGCACAAGGGAGCUUGACUGCGAGACCUACAAGUCGAGCAGGGACGAAAGUCGGGCUUAGUGAUCCGGUGGUACCGCAUGGAAGGGCCAUCGCUCAACGGAUAAAAGCUACCCUGGGGAUAACAGGCUUAUCUCCCCCAAGAGUCCACAUCGACGGGGAGGUUUGGCACCUCGAUGUCGGCUCAUCGCAUCCUGGGGCUGAAGUAGGUCCCAAGGGUUGGGCUGUUCGCCCAUUAAAGCGGUACGCGAGCUGGGUUCAGAACGUCGUGAGACAGUUCGGUCCCUAUCUGUCGUGGGCGUAGGAAAUUUGAGAGGAGCUGUCCUUAGUACGAGAGGACCGGGAUGGACGUACCGCUGGUGUACCAGUUGUUCCGCCAGGAGCACCGCUGGGUAGCUAUGUACGGACGGGAUAAGCGCUGAAAGCAUCUAAGCGUGAAGCCCCCCUCAAGAUGAGAUUUCCCAA